GGGGGGGGGGCGUGCUUUACCUUGCAGUCGAACGGGGAUUACACGGAGAUGCGAUUUCGGUCAAAUCAAGUGCACUCUUAAUGGCGGACGGGUGAGUAACGCGUGGGUAACCUGCCCUGCACUGGGGGAUAACACUUAGAAAUAGGUGCUAAUACCGCAUAAGCGCACGGUCCUGCAUGGGACAGUGUGAACCCCUCCGGUGGUGCAAGAUGGACCCGCGUCUGAUUAGCUGGUUGGCGGGGUAAAGGCCCACCAAGGCGACGAUCAGUAGCCGGCCUGAGAGGGUGGACGGCCACAUUGGGACUGAGACACGGCCCAAACUCCUACGGGAGGCAGCAGUGGGGGAUAUUGGACAAUGGGGGGAACCCUGAUCCAGCGACGCCGCGUGAGUGAAGAAGUAUUUCGGUAUGUAAAGCUCUGUCAGCAGGGAAGAAAGCAAUGACGGUACCUGACCAAGAAGCCCCGGCUAACUACGUGCCAGCAGCCGCGGUAAUACGUAGGGGGCAAGCGUUAUCCGGAAUUACUGGGUGUAAAGGGAGCGUAGACGGCUGUGCAAGUCUGGAGUGAAAGGCGGGGGCCCAACCCCCGGACUGCUCUGGAAACUGUAUGGCUGGAGUGCAGGAGAGGUAAGCGGAAUUCCUAGUGUAGCGGUGAAAUGCGUAGAUAUUAGGAGGAACACCAGUGGCGAAGGCGGCUUACUGGACUGUAACUGACGUUGAGGCUCGAAAGCGUGGGGAGCAAACAGGAUUAUAUACCCUGGUAAUCCACGCCGUAACGAUGAUUACUAGGUGUCGGUGGGU
This 800-nucleotide ribosomal RNA is filed under the name uncultured bacterium. RNAcentral describes it as "bacterial SSU rRNA". It matches the Rfam family "Bacterial small subunit ribosomal RNA", at positions 33 to 831 of the family's 1533-position model. The record is from RNAcentral.